RNAcentral lists this long non-coding RNA (323 nucleotides) under Homo sapiens (human). RNAcentral describes it as "HSALNT0229875". Lineage: Eukaryota; Metazoa; Chordata; Mammalia; Primates; Hominidae. The record is from RNAcentral.
CGAGGGCCGAGUGUCAGAAGCUGCUGCUGAGUCACUCAAGAUGAAGACAGAACUCAUCACUGGAGUCACUCAGGCAGCCUUGAGAGUGGACCCUUGGCCACUGUUCAGGGCAAGGAGGGGCCUCCACGUCUGAGUUCGAGCAGCCCCCAUAGUGGCCAGAGUGUGAAAACUUUUCCCAAAGCAAACCCAGCUGAUCUACUAAACUCCUCCCCGGGCACCCUGGUUGGUAUCUUCUCAUCUUGGGCUCAUGACUUCGUUCGUCCUUUCCUCAGCUUCUUUACCUGCUAACAAAUACAGCCAGCAAGCAUUUUUUUCCAUCUAGU